UGCGGAGGGUGCAAGCGUUAUCCGGAUUCACUGGGUUUAAAGGGUGCGUAGUGGGUUGGUAAGUCAGUGGUGAAAUCUCCGUGCUUAACAUGGAAACUGCCAUUGAUACUACUGAUCUUGAAUUUUCAGGAGGUAAGCGGAAUAUGUCAUGGUAGCGGUGAAAUGCUUAGAUAUGACAUAGAACACCAAUUGCGAAGGCAGCUUACUACAGGAAUAUUGACACUGAGUGCACGAAAGCGUUGGGGAUCAAACAGG
Molecule: ribosomal RNA, 255 nt
Filed under: uncultured bacterium
Lineage: Bacteria
Description: partial 16S ribosomal RNA
Rfam family: Bacterial small subunit ribosomal RNA
Source: RNAcentral